Molecule: long non-coding RNA, 702 nt
Organism: Eriocheir sinensis (Chinese mitten crab)
Lineage: Eukaryota; Metazoa; Arthropoda; Malacostraca; Decapoda; Varunidae
Exons: 3
Source: RefSeq, a predicted model, not a curated record
UUGGCGCAGGGGCGGGGACACCGUCCGUGGCGUGGCGUGACGUCACGCCUAUGAUCGGGUGGUGGCCUGGCCAAGUCAGUGGAGUCAGUCUGAGUUUGUGAAGUGAAGCGUUCACAUACCAUCACUCCGUUUCCCUGGUGUUAAUAAUUCACGCUGAAGAUGCCUACCACGUGUGCAGUGUUUGGUUGCCAUUCCGUUUAUGAAAAAGGUGUAAAAAUAACAUUCCAUACGUUUCCGAAAGACGAAGACACAAGGCAGAAGUGGAUUACUGCGUGCAGAAGAGGAGAUUUUAUAAAUCCAACCGCUGCACAUAUGUGCAACCGGCAUUUUGAAGAUAAUGCAUACGAGAGAAACCUUAUGUACGAGCUUUUGGAAAUACCACUACCCUCAAAGCAAAGAAGGCUGCGACCAGGGGCCGUACCAACGCUGCACUUACCAAUAGUAACAAACUCCGUAACAAUUGAUGAUAUUCUAGAGAGGAGAAGAGGAACAAAACGAUUCCUAGCAGAAACAGAUGUCGCUAAUGGAGCUGCUGCAACGCCUGAGAGCGAAGCUGUUCCUGUGACAGCUGCUGGUGGGUCGGUACCAAAGAGGAGGCUUCUUUUUGGCGAUCCCACAGGUUCAGUGUCUGGCUCCUUAAGUGAUGAAGGAAAUCACAGAGGGAGGGAAGGAGAGAGAACAGAAGGCCACGGCACUACUACA